This 506-nucleotide ribosomal RNA is filed under the name uncultured bacterium. Its description in RNAcentral is "partial 16S ribosomal RNA". It matches the Rfam family "Bacterial small subunit ribosomal RNA", at positions 29 to 523 of the family's 1533-position model. The record is from RNAcentral.
AGUGAACGCUGGCGGUAGGCCUAACACAUGCAAGUCGAACCGCAGCACAGGAGAGCUUGCUCUCUGGGUGGCGAGUGGCGGACGGGUGAGGAAUACAUCGGAAUCUACUCUGUCGUGGGGGAUAACGUAGGGAAACUUACGCUAAUACCGCAUACGACCUACGGGUGAAAGCAGGGGACCUUCGGGCCUUGCGCGAUUGAAUGAGCCGAUGUCGGAUUAGCUAGUUGGCGGGGUAAAGGCCCACCAAGGCGACGAUCCGUAGCUGGUCUGAGAGGAUGAUCAGCCACACUGGAACUGAGACACGGUCCAGACUCCUACGGGAGGCAGCAGUGGGGAAUAUUGGACAAUGGGCGCAAGCCUGAUCCAGCCUUACCGCGUGGGUGAAGAAGGCCUUCGGGUUGUAAAGCCCUUUUGUUGGGAAAGAAAUCCAGCUGGCUAAUACCCGGUUGGGAUGACGGUACCCAAAGAAUAAGCACCGGCUAACUUCGUGCCAGCAGCCGCAGUAA